This is an RNA transcript of Dermochelys coriacea (leatherback sea turtle), 3903 nucleotides long. It is a transcript of the gene named purine rich element binding protein A, with no coding region annotated. The transcript is spliced from 3 exons. The record is from RefSeq and is a predicted model, not a curated record. NCBI's taxonomy places the organism in Eukaryota, Metazoa, Chordata, Testudines, Dermochelyidae.
GUUAACAACCCGCGGCCCGUGCUCGCCCAGAAGCCAGGGCUCGCGGGGCGCGCUCUCCUCCGGCAGCCGGGGCGCGGGCCGUACCUGCUGCCUGGGCCGGGCCGAGCUCUCCGCGCUGCGGGAAGGAGGAGGCGGCGCUCUUCGCCCCGCUGCGAGCGGGCGGGCAAGGCUGGGCCCAUCCGCCCCUGCCCCGGGGCACCCGGCCCGGCGAGCCGCAGAGGGGGGGGGGAGGGGAGGCGCACUGACGGCAGCGGUGUCAAGUACGGAGCGCCGGGUUACGUGCCGACGCCGGGCUGCCACGACUCGCCGUCUGCGGGGAGAGCCGAGCCGAGCGCCGGGGCUGUGCGUGAGCUGCGAGCGGCGGGCUCUGGCCGGGCCUGCUCUGCUGCUCCGCCGCAGCCAGCCGCCUUCCUGCCCGCGGCAGCUCUCUCGCGCGGGGCAGGUGCGCUCACCUGCCGCCGGGGCCAGCGCGCCGCAGCCCCGCGUCCCCUACACCCGCUCCAUGUGAACUUCGAGCCCCGCUGUGGGAAUCUUGCAUGUUGCUUGUAAAAUGAAAGAUAACUUGAGAGAGAAACGAGAUUAAUGGCAUCACUUUACACUGGACUUUUACCAGUAAAUAUCGGUUUAUUCCUGAAAUCAGAAGCCCUAAACAUACCUUUGUUUAUAAGGUCAGUUGUCAUUUCCUCUCUAUCCUCCCCCAUUUAAUAUAAAUUAUGUGAUCUCUCAGGUAAUUGAAAGAUACAGUUUUCUUCCUAGUUUUCCUCCUCUGCACUACCGAAAAGGGAACUUACGGACCUAGAGAACGUCUAUCGGUAAUGUAGGUGUGAAUUUACAAAUUAUUGUUGUUUGUUUAAAAUUUCAAACUUUUUUGGAAACUUACUUUUCAGACUAUAGGUGCUUAGGUAAACUGUGGUGGUGGGCGCUUAUAGAAAUCCCCUAAAAAUAUAUAUAAUUAGGAGACUGAUAUUUCACAAUAUCAUGUGUAGUUCUGUUCCAAUAUAUUCAUUCCUAGUCUUAGAAAGUACUUAUCUGAAAGUAUACACUAGAAAAUGAAAGUUCUCUCUUGCAAUAGUAAAGGGAAAAAACAGAAUUUGAACAGGAUCUUUUUUUAAACUGUUCACAAAACUAUGCUUUGAAGUUGAGAGAAGAGUCAAAUAGUGAAAUGUUAAACUUAAAAGGACGUUGUUGGGUAGUUUAGACCACAAAUUUAGUUUUUUCUGGUUAUUUUACAAAAAAUUGAGUAGAAAUACAUUUGACAAAAGUCAAUUUUAUUCUUAAAAACCCAAAACAGGAUUUGGAAGUAUUUAAACACCUCUUUGUAAUGUUUGCAACCAAAUACAACAGCAUUGUGCUCAUACACAAGAGACAGAAGCUAGCAAGGAAUAGAAAAUGAAGUUGACUAAACAGGCCAGCCAAAUUUCAUUCUCCAAAACAGGUGAAAUGCAAAGAGUAAAAAAAGAAUUUUAAAAAAAUUCUUUCAAUUUUAAGUAUCUACAGCAUUCAUAAUGCAAGACUGUUUUCUAGAGUUAUUCAGCUGAACAAUGUCCCUUUAAGGAGAUGCAGCACAAUUUACAAAUUUUAUCCUAGACGUGUUUUGUUAUCUUUGCUCUCAGUACAAAUCAAAGCUCUUGCAACCUUUGUUGGAGUCGAUAGUGACUGGAGUCUUCCAGCAGUAAGUACACUUUCUGAGCUGAAAACUACCUUUCCUCCCCUUUUGCAGCCUGUGUGGUUCUGACUGCUGGCAGUUCUGUAGUACAGCAGCUUUAAUCUGAGCAAUUGAGACUGUUCCUACAUUAUCUUCAGAUGGCUUGAGGAGGACUUCUGUUCCCAGUCUGGUACUCAAAUACUCCGUCUCACCUUGAGAAGUCACUUACUUUAAAAGGCAGUGAUAGAUUACUCUCUUUAGCACUGAUGGAAAAUUAUAUUGCAAAGCAGCUUUAUUAUGAACCUUUCGUAUAUUCAUAAUUCCCGUGCAAUCCCAAAUUGGAGAAAAGAGCCUGUUAGAGGUAUAUAUUACUCUAGAUUUUUCUUACUGUAAAUAUUGUAAUUUUAUAAUCCUGUCAAUAUUUUAUUAAUUUAGAAAUAUUUAACAAAAUUCAAUCUGUGUGUGUUCAGAUUUAUUUAAUGGUGUUCCUGCUGCAGUCAGUAUUGCAUUAUAUUCUAUGUAAGAUUAACUUAAAUAAAAAAAAUUAACAUUGAUUUAAAUACAUCUUUCUGAGAGAAGUUUUGAGGUGAGUCUCUUCUUUGAAAUGUAACACUUAUACUCUUCAGUCCCAAUGCUAAGGUAAUUUAAUGAAAUAUUACAGUUACAGAUUUACAAAGCUAAUGCAGCUAAACAACUGCACUUGGAACUUGUCAUUUUAAAACUUGAGAAUACUUGAAUGUAAAUGGCUUUUAUCAGCCAGUUUUCAGUGAACAAGAAUCUCUGCAAUAUCUGAUGUAUCGAAAAUAAAAAAACUCUUUAUAAUGAGUAAAGGGACACUGUACGUCAGUUAAGUUUUUGUAAAAACCAGUAUUUGUAAAGGCCAAGUUCAGUAGAAAUGUUUUCAUUAUUUUAAAAAAAAUUCUAAUGAAAACACAUGUUUUGUUUGUUUGGCUGUAUGCAUUCCCCCUAGCAGUGUUUGCAUCCCAAAUAUUGCAGCUUUGUGGUGGUGUGCACAAGCCAGAAAGCAACUAGAAAUUGACUAGUUGCAGAACAUGAAAUCUUUUUAAUUGUCCAAAUUAAAGGCUCAAGCCUAUGCCCUUUUUUAAAGUCAGUGGCAAAGCUUUCACAGAAACAGGAUCGGGUCCUGAGUGAUCACUUUCUUCCUCUUCCUCAGCACUGAUGGGGAAAAUUAAAUUAGAUUUUCUAAAAUUCUUUGUUUUAUUAACCUAAGGUUCUCUAAAGACAUUUUCUUUUUAAAAAUUAAUUUUAACCUGAUUUUAAUCUGAUUUUUAACUCCUUUAGCAGUUUGCUUUUAAAAUGUUCAUGUUCUCUGCAGAAUUAUCAAAAGCAAAGUAUUUUUUCCUUUCAGAGGCCAGGGAGGAUUGAUCUCUAAUGUAUUUGCAACAUGACUCUUCUUAAAGGAUCCAAAAUAUCUCAAAGGUUUUUAUAGCAGGUGGUACUUUUGGGUUUACAAGUUAAUCUUUAUUAGAGAUGUGCCAAUAUAUGCUGCUUAUUGUAGUGUUGUUAUAUUUAGUCAUUUUAGCUAACUUACAAAUAUAUACUGUAACAGUAUACUUUGUACAGAUUUAUUUAAAAAUUGAAAUAAAAUAGGCAAAAAAAUAAAGAUGUUUUUCAUUUGACUAUGUAAGCAGCUAUCAUUCUUUUGUUUUUAGUGUACCUGGGCAAACAGUAUCAGAACGAUAAAAUAUUUUAGAUGAUAGGCCACAUUUCAGAAACUCUGUGGAUAUGUGUAUGUGUAUCUGUAUUGUAUGUUGCUAACUUAACUCUAGAAUGCAAAUAAUGAAAUCAUACUCUUUUUACCAUUUAGAAGAGAAGUGUUUCACAUUUUGACUAUAUUUUCUCUGUUUUAUGACAAAAAGGCGUAUAUUUUUUGAAAGAUGUUUAUGAAGGGCCUGCCAUCUGGCUUCUCAAGUAAAUUUUUAAAAUUCCAGAGUGGGGGUGAUUACUUGUUUAGCCUUUGCUGAUAGACCAAAGUCAGCUUUGACAUCAUAUUGGGGUGCUGCUCAAAUUUAUGUUUUAUGUCCUUUAAGUCAAAAAACAAAACAAGAAAAAUCAAGAUGUUAACUUCAUUAGAAAACAAAUUCCUCACUGUACAGUAGAAUGGAUAUCUCUAAUCACUGUUGUCAUUAAUAAUAGAUUAUUUUUUGAAUUACUUAUUUAAAAGAACAGCAAGCAUUGUAUUUGCUAGUAAAUAUAAAGUGUUUACAUGUAAUUACUUAAUAAAUUAUUUGAUUUAA